Molecule: non-coding RNA, 28 nt
Filed under: Rattus norvegicus (Norway rat)
Lineage: Eukaryota; Metazoa; Chordata; Mammalia; Rodentia; Muridae
Source: RNAcentral
UGGACCAUGACUGCCUUAACACUUAACA